GGUGACAGCCCCGUACACAAAAAUGCACACAUUGUGAGCUCGAUGAGUAGGGCGGGACACGUGGUAUCCUGUCUGAAUAUGGGGGGACCAUCCUCCAAGGCUAAAUACUCCUGACUGACCGAUAGUGAACCAGUACCGUGAGGGAAAGGCGAAAAGAACCCCGGCGAGGGGAGUGAAAAAGAACCUGAAACCGUGUACGUACAAGCAGUGGGAGCCUCUUAAUGGGGUGACUGCGUACCUUUUGUAUAAUGGGUCAGCGACUUAUAUUCUGUAGCAAGGUUAACCGAAUAGGGGAGCCGAAGGGAAACCGAGUCUUAACUGGGCGUUAAGUUGCAGGGUAUAGACCCGAAACCCGGUGAUCUAGCCAUGGGCAGGUUGAAGGUUGGGUAACACUAACUGGAGGACCGAACCGACUAAUGUUGAAAAAUUAGCGGAUGACUUGUGGCUGGGGGUGAAAGGCCAAUCAAACCGGGAGAUAGCUGGUUCUCCCCGAAAGCUAUUUAGGUAGCGCCUCGUGAAUUCAUCUCCGGGGGUAGAGCACUGUUUCGGCAAGGGGGUCAUCCCGACUUACCAACCCGAUGCAAACUGCGAAUACCGGAGAAUGUUAUCACGGGAGACACACGGCGGGUGCUAACGUCCGUCGUGAAGAGGGAAACAACCCAGACCGCCAGCUAAGGUCCCAAAGUCAUGGUUAAGUGGGAAACGAUGUGGGAAGGCCCAGACAGCCAGGAUGUUGGCUUAGAAGCAGCCAUCAUUUAAAGAAAGCGUAAUAGCUCACUGGUCGAGUCGGCCUGCGCGGAAGAUGUAACGGGGCUAAACCAUGCACCGAAGCUGCGGCAGCGACACUAUGUGUUGUUGGGUA
This 862-nucleotide ribosomal RNA is filed under the name Escherichia coli. Its description in RNAcentral is "partial 23S ribosomal RNA". It matches the Rfam family "Bacterial large subunit ribosomal RNA", at positions 363 to 1230 of the family's 2925-position model. The record is from RNAcentral. Lineage: Bacteria; Pseudomonadati; Pseudomonadota; Gammaproteobacteria; Enterobacterales; Enterobacteriaceae.